GAAGCCCAGCUUGCUGGGUGGAUUAGUGGCGAACGGGUGAGUAACACGUGAGCAACGUGCCCAUAACUCUGGGAUAACCUCCGGAAACGGUGGCUAAUACUGGAUAUCUAACGCGAUCGCAUGGUCUGUGUUUGGAAAGAUUUUUUGGUUAUGGAUCGGCUCACGGCCUAUCAGCUUGUUGGUGAGGUAAUGGCUCACCAAGGCGACGACGGGUAGCCGGCCUGAGAGGGUGACCGGCCACACUGGGACUGAGACACGGCCCAGACUCCUACGGGAGGCAGCAGUGGGGAAUAUUGCACAAUGGGCGAAAGCCUGAUGCAGCAACGCCGCGUGAGGGAUGACGGCCUUCGGGUUGUAAACCUCUUUUAGUAGGGAAGAAGCGAAAGUGACGGUACCUGCAGAAAAAGCACCGGCUAACUACGUGCCAGCAGCCGCGGUAAUACGUAGGGUGCAAGCGUUGUCCGGAAUUAUUGGGCGUAAAGAGCUCGUAGGCGGUUUGUCGCGUCUGCUGUGAAAUCCCGAGGCUCAACCUCGGGUCUGCAGUGGGUACGGGCAGACUAGAGUGUGGUAGGGGAGAUUGGAAUUCCUGGUGUAGCGGUGGAAUGCGCAGAUAUCAGGAGGAACACCGAUGGCGAAGGCAGAUCUCUGGGCCAUUACUGACGCUGAGGAGCGAAAGCAUGGGGAGCGAACAGGAUUAGAUACCCUGGUAGUCCAUGCCGUAAACGUUGGGCGCUAGAUGUGGGGACCAU
This 749-nucleotide ribosomal RNA is filed under the name Pseudoclavibacter helvolus. RNAcentral's name for it is "bacterial SSU rRNA". It matches the Rfam family "Bacterial small subunit ribosomal RNA", at positions 70 to 832 of the family's 1533-position model. The record is from RNAcentral. Lineage: Bacteria; Bacillati; Actinomycetota; Actinomycetes; Micrococcales; Microbacteriaceae.